UUUGUUAUAUAAAGCUAAAGUUUCAAACUUAGAUGCCACACAAGUUCAUUCUACACUUGCAAAAUUAAUCACAAUUCUAUGUAUUAAAAAUUUCUAAUAUCUAAAUCAAAAUUCAUAAUCCGAUCAAUAUUUUUCCAGUCUCCAACUUCUUCUUCUUUUUUUCUUCCUAAACUCAGUAUAUAAUCUAAGAAUCAAUAAAUCCAAAAAAAAAAAAAUCAAUCUCCCUUCCACUAACAAAAUCCAACUGAAGGUAGAACAAUUUAUGUAUAGGCUGAGAUGUUUUUCCUAUAUACCACCCAAACUCUUUCUAUACCAUUAAAUUAUAUCAAAAGAUUAGUCAUGCUUUUACUAUAAUUCUAUCUUGGUAGAAACUAAAGUUUCAUCCAAUACUAAAAUAAAGAUUGAUAUAUACCUACUAUAUCUUCUCCACUAUUCCAAAGUGAACCACUCAACUUAAACCACAACACCAUUUUGAUAUUAAAACCUCCACUUAUAUUGUUUUACUCUCCUCAAAANNNNNNNNNAGUCUUCAUACUUACUUAGAUAUCUUCCCUUAACCAUACUAUCCAAUAGAAAUUCUUUUGUCAACUAUAGUUCUUACAACUAACUCUAAAUCUACUCACUUUUUCUUUUCUAAAAAAAAUAAAAUCUGCUCAUACUUUUUCUUUUAAAAGAUAAUCUAUUUAUAUUUGCAGCAAGUGUGUGCUAUAUUUUCCAACUAAAAGUAUUCAAUCAUAUUCUUAAUAACUAAAAUUAAACUUUCUAAAAUACACCACAAUCAAAUAUCUCAAACUCAUCGUUAAAUAUAUUUUAUUUUCAAUUAUCAAAAUAAUCAUAUUUCAUCAAUUCUAAAAUUUACUCUAGUAGUCUUGUAUUGGUUCAUUCUAUAGAACUAGUUUGUUUCACAUAACUUACUCCAAAGUAAAAUUGACCAUAGACACACCCUUCCAAUUUUAACAUAAUUAACCUUAACUAUGAGUCUUAAUUUAUUUUAUUUUUAAUUUUUUUAAUUUUGAAACAACACAAUUUUAUUUAUAAUAAUUCCUACAUAACUACAAUAAGUGUCUAU
This 1069-nucleotide long non-coding RNA is filed under the name Trifolium pratense (red clover). RNAcentral describes it as "long non-coding RNA (TPRA_LNC006481)". Lineage: Eukaryota; Viridiplantae; Streptophyta; Magnoliopsida; Fabales; Fabaceae. The record is from RNAcentral.